GUCAAUCCAACUAACAGCCUAUUGAUGUACAUAAGCAUGUAAAAGGUUGCAAAUAAUUCAAUUUGCAUGGUUCAAGUGAAAUGGAGGUUGAUACUCACAGGAAGAUAAAAGGAAUAAUAGGCAGUCUUGUACUGAACAAUGCGACGGUGCCUGAAGAGAUAUUUAACCAACAUAUAAAUGAGGGCAUAUACGAGAAUCACUAUUAGAAAGAGUUAAAAUGGAAAAA
Long non-coding RNA from Hibiscus syriacus, 226 nucleotides. RefSeq lists it as uncharacterized. NCBI's taxonomy places the organism in Eukaryota, Viridiplantae, Streptophyta, Magnoliopsida, Malvales, Malvaceae. The transcript is spliced from 2 exons. The record is from RefSeq and is a predicted model, not a curated record.